Homarus americanus (American lobster) is the source of this 148-nucleotide long non-coding RNA. RefSeq lists it as uncharacterized. Lineage: Eukaryota; Metazoa; Arthropoda; Malacostraca; Decapoda; Nephropidae. The record is from RefSeq and is a predicted model, not a curated record. The transcript is spliced from 3 exons.
AGAUACAACAACAACAACAAGAACUACAACCACAACUGCUGAGUCUACUGGAAGUACAAAUGAAGUCUCAGCCUCAGAUACCACACCUGCCGGAGAUACAACAACAACAACAAGAACUACAACCACAACUUCUGAGUCUACUGGAAGU